AACAGGAUUAGAUACCCUGGUAGUCCACGCCCUAAACGAUGUCGACUAGGUGUUCGGUGAGGAGACUCAUUGAGUACCGCAGCUAACGCGUGAAGUCGACCGCCUGGGGAGUACGGUCGCAAGAUUAAAACUCAAAGGAAUUGACGGGGACCCGCACAAGCGGUGGAUAAUGUGGAUUAAUUCGAUGCAACGCGAAAAACCUUACCUACCCUUGACAUGUACGGAACCCUGCUGAGAGGUGGGGGUGCUCGAAAGAGAGCCGUAACACAGGUGCUGCAUGGCUGUCGUCAGCUCGUGUCGUGAGAUGUUGGGUUAAGUCCCGCAACGAGCGCAACCCUUGUCAUUAGUUGCUACGCAAGAGCACUCUAAUGAGACUGCCGGUGACAAACCGGAGGAAGGUGGGGAUGACGUCAAGUCCUCAUGGCCCUUAUGGGUAGGGCUUCACACGUCAUACAAUGGUCGGUACAGAGGGUUGCCAAGCCGCGAGGUGGAGCUAAUCCCAGAAAGCCGAUCGUAGUCCGGAUCGCAGUCUGCAACUCGACUGCGUGAAGUCGGAAUCGCUAGUAAUCGCGGAUCAGCAUACCGCGGUGAAUACGUUCCCGGGUCUUGUACACACCGCCCGUCACACCAUGGGAGUGGGUUUCACCAGAAGAGGCUAGCCUAACCGCAAGGGGGGCGGUCGCCACGGUGAGAUUCAUGACUGGGGUGAAGUCGUAACAAGGUAACC
This 727-nucleotide ribosomal RNA is filed under the name uncultured bacterium. Its description in RNAcentral is "bacterial SSU rRNA". It matches the Rfam family "Bacterial small subunit ribosomal RNA", at positions 771 to 1501 of the family's 1533-position model. The record is from RNAcentral.